Otolemur garnettii (small-eared galago) is the source of this 130-nucleotide non-coding RNA. NCBI's taxonomy places the organism in Eukaryota, Metazoa, Chordata, Mammalia, Primates, Galagidae. The record is from Rfam.
UUCCUUGUUUGUUUAAUUAAGGAAAUCCUUCCUUGUUCUGUUAAUUAAACUUUGGGACAUUGAAAUGGGAUAGUGAAAAUGACUGGGUAGAAGGCAUUAUUCUAUUCAUUUAUCUUCUAGCCUUACAAAA